GACGUAGGGUGCGAGCGUUGUCCGGAUUUAUUGGGCGUAAAGAGCUCGUAGGCGGCUCGUCGCGUCGACCGUGAAAACCCGCAGCUUAACUGCGGGCUUGCGGUUGAUACGGGCGGGCUAGAGUUCGGUAGGGGAGACUGGAAUUCCUGGUGUAGCGGUGAAAUGCGCAGAUAUCAGGAGGAACACCGGUGGCGAAGGCGGGUCUCUGGGCCGAUACUGACGCUGUGGAGCGAAAGCGUGGGGAGCGAACAGG
RNAcentral lists this ribosomal RNA (253 nucleotides) under uncultured bacterium. RNAcentral's name for it is "partial 16S ribosomal RNA". It matches the Rfam family "Bacterial small subunit ribosomal RNA", at positions 524 to 776 of the family's 1533-position model. The record is from RNAcentral.